UGCAGUCGAGCGGUAGCACAGAGAGCUUGCUCUCGGGUGACGAGCGGCGGACGGGUGAGUAAUGUCUGGGAAACUGCCUGAUGGAGGGGGAUAACUACUGGAAACGGUAGCUAAUACCGCAUAACGUCGCAAGACCAAAGUGGGGGACCUUCGGGCCUCAUGCCAUCAGAUGUGCCCAGAUGGGAUUAGCUAGUAGGUGGGGUAACGGCUCACCUAGGCGACGAUCCCUAGCUGGUCUGAGAGGAUGACCAGCCACACUGGAACUGAGACACGGUCCAGACUCCUACGGGAGGCAGCAGUGGGGAAUAUUGCACAAUGGGCGCAAGCCUGAUGCAGCCAUGCCGCGUGUGUGAAGAAGGCCUUCGGGUUGUAAAGCACUUUCAGCGGGGAGGAAGGCGUUGAGGUUAAUAACCUUGUCGAUUGACGUUACCCGCAGAAGAAGCACCGGCUAACUCCGUGCCAGCAGCCGCGGUAAUACGGAGGGUGCAAGCGUUAAUCGGAAUUACUGGGCGUAAAGCGCACGCAGGCGGUCUGUCAAGUCGGAUGUGAAAUCCCCGGGCUCAACCUGGGAACUGCAUUCGAAACUGGCAGGCUAGAGUCUUGUAGAGGGGGGUAGAAUUCCAGGUGUAGCGGUGAAAUGCGUAGAGAUCUGGAGGAAUACCGGUGGCGAAGGCGGCCCCCUGGACAAAGACUGACGCUCAGGUGCGAAAGCGUGGGGAGCAAACAGGAUU
This 731-nucleotide ribosomal RNA is filed under the name Klebsiella pneumoniae. RNAcentral describes it as "bacterial SSU rRNA". It matches the Rfam family "Bacterial small subunit ribosomal RNA", at positions 56 to 779 of the family's 1533-position model. Lineage: Bacteria; Pseudomonadati; Pseudomonadota; Gammaproteobacteria; Enterobacterales; Enterobacteriaceae. The record is from RNAcentral.